CAGAAGGAGUGGGCUUUGCUGGAUUUUUCUGUGAAGAAUCUGUAGAGAUGUGAUGAGGGAAGCCAUCAGCACCUGGCUUCUAUAGGAAACAAAUGGGAAAACCAGAACAUUAAAGAUGAAUAGAAAAAGCCUGGGAGAAAUCUAAGCUGCAGUCCAAGAGGCCAACCGGAACAUCAACAUCAGACACUAAUCCAGCUGACUGGAUCAUGACCAUUUCACAGACAACUACCCAAAAACAUCUACAGACGGCACUGCUCCUACAGUCAACCCGAUACCAGAGAACUCUCCAUCCCCUCGUCAGCAGGAAGUAUCCAGAAAGAACAUGCCGCCCCUCGUCCUUUUUAUAACUAUAAGGUCUGGAUUGACAGAGCAGAAGCAUCACCAUUGUGGAUAAGCACCUCAUUUUAAAAUUCACCUUAAUCAAAGACUGCCUAAAUCCAAAGGGCAUCAGCCUAAUGGCUAAGGUCAGCAUGAUCACAAACCACAAAUAACAUCUCCAACCAAAAACAUUCCAGACACCUCCCACAGAGACAUGCUAGCCUGGGGAUAACCCCUCUCCUGCUGGAAAGAUGUCACCCCCACGAUAACCGCCCCUCCGACCAGAACAUUCCAACCCCACCAUAAACUUCUCCCCCACACAGAGACAUUCCAAGCUUGUAAUAAGCUCCCUCACCCUAAAACCAAUGUACACUCUUAGUCUGCAAGGAAAAGUGCUCCUGACUGACAUCAGCCAGAAGCCUCCCUCAGGUCUUUUCUAUAAUAAACCUGUCUUUGACUGUCAA
Molecule: long non-coding RNA, 782 nt
Organism: Symphalangus syndactylus (siamang)
Lineage: Eukaryota; Metazoa; Chordata; Mammalia; Primates; Hylobatidae
Source: RefSeq, a predicted model, not a curated record